This 63-nucleotide transfer RNA is filed under the name Endopterygota sp. 25 LC-2017. RNAcentral's name for it is "tRNA-Pro". Lineage: Eukaryota; Metazoa; Arthropoda; Insecta. The record is from RNAcentral.
CAAGAAAUAGUUUAUAUAAAAUAUUAAUUUUGGAGAUUAAUGAAACUUAUUUAGUUUUCUUGA